RNAcentral lists this ribosomal RNA (675 nucleotides) under uncultured Bacteroides sp. RNAcentral's name for it is "bacterial SSU rRNA". It matches the Rfam family "Bacterial small subunit ribosomal RNA", at positions 796 to 1488 of the family's 1533-position model. Lineage: Bacteria; Pseudomonadati; Bacteroidota; Bacteroidia; Bacteroidales; Bacteroidaceae. The record is from RNAcentral.
GGGCGCGUACAUGAGGCUGGGUGUUGGCGAUGACGGUCAGCGCCUGAGGGAAACCAUUAAGCCAUCCACCUGGGGAGUACGGCCGCAAGGCUGAAACUCAAAGGAAUUGACGGGGGCCCGCACAAGCGGAGGAACAUGUGGUUUAAUUCGAUGGUACGCGAGGAACCUUACCUGGGCUAGAACGCUUCUGGGAUGCUGCGGAAACGUAGCAGCCGGCAACGGCCGGGAGCGAGGUGCUGCAUGGUUGUCGUCAGCUCGUGCCGUGAGGUGUCGGGUUAAGUCCCAUAACGAGCGCAACCCCUACGUCCAGUUGCCAGCGGGUAGAGCCGGGGACUCUGGAUGGACAGCCGGCGUAAGCCGCGAGGAGGGGGGGGAUGACGUCAAAUCAGCACGGCCCUUACGUCCAGGGCUACACACGUGUUACAAUGGCCGGUACAGCGGGAGGCGACCCCGGGAGGGGGAGCGGAUCCCGAAAGCCGGUCGUAGUUCGGAUCGGAGUCUGGAACCCGACUCCGUGAAGCUGGAUUCGCUAGUAAUCGCGCAUCAGCCACGGCGCGGUGAAUACGUUCCCGGGCCUUGUACACACCGCCCGUCAAGCCAUGGGAGCCGGGGGGACCUGAAGUGCGUGACCGCGAGGGGCGCCCUAGGGUAAACCCGGUGACUGGGGCUAAGUCG